This 4041-nucleotide long non-coding RNA is filed under the name Capra hircus (goat). RNAcentral's name for it is "lncRNA (ENSCHIG00000006849.1)". The record is from RNAcentral. Lineage: Eukaryota; Metazoa; Chordata; Mammalia; Artiodactyla; Bovidae.
ACAGCUCAAUUAAUUUAUUUUCCACUUGUCUAUGGCUGUUUUAGGGCUAAAAUGGCAGAACCAAGGAAUUUUGACCGAGACCGUUACGUCCGCAAGACCUAUUCAUUAAUUAAUUCAUUCAAGACCUAUAUUCAUUCUCUGGCCCCUUACAGUGUGCUGAACCCUGAUCUAGACGUGAGUCAAUCCAAGCAGAGUAAUCUAAACCCUCGAAAAGUGAAGUCUGCCAGAGAGCCACAGUUAUUAGCACUUCCAACAUGUAGAGUUGCUGCCUUGUGGAGCCUUAGACGGUGAUUUGAAAUGGUCGGCAGUAACACCCAGUAAUGAAAGUGUGGAAGGAUAAUUUAUUGACAUGACCUCACUGUAGUAAAGUAUGAGUCCCUAUCUCUGGACGUUGGGAUUGAUCAUGUAAGUUUUUUGGCCAAACGGAUGGUGAUAUACCUGAGACGAGCAGAGGCGUUGUGCGUGCUUGCAUAAUUGCCUUUGCCUGUUCGCACUUCAGUGAGCCUCAGGGAGGACUACACACCCUGUGUAGCCACUGUUUCUACAGCCCGAGUUCCAGAACGAGAAAUGAGGACCGCACGCCCCUGACAAUCGCGGAUCCCCUUGGAGCUGAUCUGAAUCCAGCUGCAGCCUGAGGUCUAUAUUUGUACCCAGCUCUGCCGCUGGGCAGCCACCCUGCUGCUGAUGGGCGUGAGAGUCAAGGCUGUGCUGCUUCGAGUCCACGGGCUUAAGAUGGCUUGUUCUUUGGCAUUAUUGUGUGAAUAAAUGGCAAGUACAGGUGAUCUCCAGAGAUUCUUUUUCUUACUCCUUAUAGAUACAAUGACUAUGAAAAUUCCUCAAAGCAUUCCUUCUCAUAAGUGUCUCCAACAGUAUUUUGCAAUGUAAUGUGGAUAUUUAGUGCUUUCAACUAAACGACCUUUCUCUGCAUUGGAAGAACUGAAUUAGCUAAAAAAAAAAAAAAAAAAAAAGAAGCAUGUUCAAAGUGAAUUCUAGAUAUUAUAGGUAUUAGUUUCUGUCCUUUUGAUUUAAAGGCUGACAAUAUAUUGUGCAUUUGAAAUUUGGGAAUUUGAUAUGUAGGGGGAUUCUGAGACUUUGUAGGAAGCGAAUUUGGUGUGAAGCUCAGUUUCCAGAAAUGCUGUGUUUUAAAUAAUUCUUCUCUGAAGUGCAAGCAAACCUUUUACUCAUAAGCUUUCUAAUUUUCUAAGUAGAAAAAUAUUUUUUUUUCAUAUCACAAAGAAUGUAAGUCUGAGGAACAGUUAGUUCCAAACUGCCUGCUGCUUUCCAGCUAGGAUUGUGUGCAGUUUAUGUCAAAACACUUCAGCAAAGAAAUACAAAUACAGACUAAUGUUUGACUUCUUUUGUUGUGUUGAACUGGAGCCAGCAAAAGUAUUUAUAUAUAAAUCCACUUGUGAAACACAUAACCCUCUCAAUGUGACUUAUAUGUUUAAGGCUUAAAGUGAAUUUGGGUUGAUUGACAGAAGCUACCACUCUUAAAAUGUCGCCAUGUCUAACUCUGCUUAUGUGGUAAUUUUUAAAUGCAUUCUUUUCACUGAGGGACGUUUACCUUGUGAACACUUAUUUGCCCUACUGUGUGGACUGUGAAGUAUAAUCCUUCAGUACACCCAUGCUCACUCUUCUCUUUAGAAACCUGAAGGAAACAAAUUCCCCAAACCCCAAGUAUAUGCCUAAAAUAUCUCCUUGGAAAUAGCCUGAGGGCAAAAUAGAUGACUUUGCCAUUUCAAACACUUGAGCAUAAUGUAGGUAUAAAAGUGAGUCCUGUCAUAGGUGUCAGAUAUUUUCCUUCUCUCUCUAACAGUGAUUUGCUACAAAACCCUGUUUUCUGCUUGCUCUUUCUGUGAGGAACUAAGACAUGGGUUUUGAGUCUAAGAUUUUGAGGAGCUUCUGUGGACGAAGCAAUGUAAAAGACCACAGACACCUCAGAUGUCAGAGACACCGUGUAGGAAUGUUGUGUCUCCAUUUUUCAAAAGCUCUGUCCUCCCAUUUUGUUGAACUUUAGUACCUUGUUUAAAUUUUUAUUGCAUUCCCACAUAGUGUUAUGAAUAAAUAUAUAAGAAAUGCCACAACACAUUAGGCCAAUGGUCCAUCUUGCCUGCCUCUGAGGGACGUUUUGUAGGGAGCUAAAGUUGUCUUUCUUGACGUUACUCUGAAAACAUUAGGGAUCUGCUGCACACAUUCCUCACCCCCCCCCCCCCCUUAAUAUUCCAUUACAGAGCCAGCAUCUGAGAAUUUUCCUAAACCUUUAAAAACUUAUUUAUAGUUUUGCCCUUUGUUAUUCUUUUGGGGCCAUAAGAUCACUGCAUAAUUUGUAUUAAAAAAUGACCUCCUUUGAGUUUCAAGAGGUGGUUCCUGAAGUCCAGCAUUUUAAAAUUGGAUGAAUAAGUUUUUGAUUAGAAAAGCCACAUCUUCACAAUUUCCUAGAAUAUUGUUAUAUGGUAGGUUGGUUCUAGGGGCUUCCCAGGUGGUGCAGUGGUAAAGAAUCUGCCUGCAAUGCAGGAGACACAAGAACUGCGUCAACCCCUGGGUUGGGAAGAUCUCCUGCAGAAGGGAGUGGAAGCCCACUUCAGUAUUCUUGUCUGGACAAUCCCAUCGACAGAGGAGCCCAGUGGACUACAGUUCACGGGGCUGCAGAGUCAGGCACAACUGGGCGAGCAUGAGCAUCCUUCCUCCCUUCCACGCUGCUUCUAAGGGGAUUCCCAGUGGCUCCCUCCCCUUAUGUCUGAGCUUGCCCUUGUAACUUGCUUCUAACGUAUACAAUAUACCACACGUGAAAGAAAGUGAAAGUGAAGUCGCUCAGUUGUGUCCAACUCUAUGACCCCAUGGACUGUAGCCUACCAGGCUCCUCUGUCCAUGGGAUUUUCCAGGCAAGAGUACUGGAGUGGGUUUCCAUGUCCUUCUCCAGGGGAUCUUCCUGACCCAGGGAUCGAAACUGCAUCUCCUGCAUUGCAGGCAGACACUUCACCAUCUGAGAUACUAGGAAGCCACCAUAAGUGAUGACAUGUCAAUUUUUUAAGAUUGGGUUAUAAAAUCUGUGACUUCCAUACUGCUUACACACACUCUCUCCUUCUGGGUGCUUGCUCUAAGGAAGCAAACUGCAUGUUGUAAGCUGCCUUGUGAUGGGGUCUACAUGGCACAGACCUGAGGGCGGCCUCUGGCCAACAAUCAGAAAGGAACUGAGGACUACAGUCCAGCAGCCCUUGAGAAUCAGAUCCUGCCAACAAUAAUAUGGAUACCGAUUCUUCCCUUGCUAUACCUUUGGAUGAGGCAACAGACCGAGAUGACACCAUGACUGCAACCUUGUAGGAAACCUGGGAAGCAAGUUGGGGAUCACUGAGGGCCUUUCAGAAGCAGCCUAUCAAGUAAUUAAUGAGACUGUGAAGGUCUUUGUCUCAAUUAAUUUUGAUUAUAUCUUUGAGAUACUCCUAUAAGAUCCUACUAGUUUGCCAUAUUGAUCCUCCAAAAUAUUUUUAUCUUGGCAAUUCUAAGACAAGUUCCCCCUCUCAGGUCAUUUGUGUGGCUUAAAAAUAAUGUAAGUGUGAUCCUCACAGACUUUGAUGUACGCCUACGUAUAUUACUUAGCUAUUUCUGGGUGACGGACUAUCUUAACACUGAUGGCUUAAACCAUUAACUAUUUGUUUUGUUCCUGAUUCUGUGUGUUGGCCAGUGGUUGGGCUCCGCUGCGUAUUCUGACUUCAGCCCGACUUCCUCUUGAUCUGCCAUCCUCUGAGGUCACCUGGCUGCUUUUGCUGAUCUUGAAUAUAUUCUCUCACUUCUCUGAGGCCUCAGCUGGGAUUGACCCAUGGACUCAGCUGUGUUCCAUGUGAUCACGAUCCAGCAAGCUAUCCAAGGCUUGUUCACACAGCAGUAUCAGCACCCCAGGAUAAUAAACAGGAGCAGGGCUCCUUGAGUCCUAGACUUAGGACUGAAGCAUCUGUCCCUCCCACCAUGCUCUAUUGGCCAGUCCAAACUCACGCGGCGGGGAGGAGACUCUGCCUCUUCUUGGGAGGAAAUGCUAAGUCAGUU